UCCAGACUCCUACGGGAGGCAGCAGUGGGGAAUAUUGCACAAUGGGCGCAAGCCUGAUGCAGCCAUGCUGCGUGUAUGAAGAAGGCCUUCGGGUUGUAAAGUCCUUUCAGCGGGGAGGAAGGCGAUAAGGUUAAUAACCUUGUCGAUUGACGUUACCCACAGAAGAAGCACCGGCUAACUCCGUGCCAGCAGCCGCGGUAAUACGGAGGGUGCAAUCGUUAAUCGGAAUUACUGGGCGUAAAGCGCACGCAGGCGGUCUGUCAAGUCGGAUGUUAAAUCCCCGGGCUCAACCUGGGAACUGCAUUCGAAACUGGCAGGCUGGAGUCUUGUAGAGGGGGGUAGAAUUCCAGGGGUAGCGGUGAAAUGCGUAGAGAUCUGGAGGAAUACCGGUGGCGAAGGCGGCCCCCUGGACAAAGACUGACGCUCAGGUGCGAAAGCGUGGUGAGCAAACAGGAUUAGAUACCCGGGUAC
RNAcentral lists this ribosomal RNA (471 nucleotides) under uncultured bacterium. Its description in RNAcentral is "bacterial SSU rRNA". It matches the Rfam family "Bacterial small subunit ribosomal RNA", at positions 330 to 793 of the family's 1533-position model. The record is from RNAcentral.